UAAACCUCUUCACAAUGGCAACCCACUUCUUAAUUCUCGUCAUGCUGGUUGCCUUCUCCAAAGGUGGUCUCUCCCAGGUAGCUCUGACCCAGUCAGAUCCAGUGCUGAAGAAACCAGGAGAAUCCCAUAAAUUGACUUGCGCUGUCACUGGAUUUGACGUUAACAGUGAUUACAUGGACUGGAUCAGACAGAAACCUGGCCAAGGACUGGAAUGGCUUGUAGACUAUUACGAUUCUAGUGAGAAUACUUAUUCACCAACAAUCCAAGGACGAUUUACUGCCUCCAAGGACAGUUCCAACUUCUAUCUGCAAAUGAACAACCUAAAAGCUGAGGACACAGCUGUCUAUUACUGUGCAAGAGACACAGUGAAAGAUCUCUUAAGUGAUCUCAAGCAAAAACCUUUCCUUUAUAUAAGUAUUGAAAUGUCUCAAGAGGGGUCAGCAGAGAACCACAAAAUGAGCAUCUGGAACAAAAUCACUCAGGCAGAGAAGAGAUGUAAAUGA
Non-coding RNA from Crotalus tigris (Tiger rattlesnake), 503 nucleotides. The record is from the annotation of a RefSeq genome assembly. NCBI's taxonomy places the organism in Eukaryota, Metazoa, Chordata, Lepidosauria, Squamata, Viperidae.